This is a non-coding RNA of Drosophila kikkawai, 337 nucleotides long. NCBI's taxonomy places the organism in Eukaryota, Metazoa, Arthropoda, Insecta, Diptera, Drosophilidae. The record is from RefSeq and is a predicted model, not a curated record.
UUUUACUCAGGAGCACCCAAAUAUCAUGGAAAACUUGAAAUGAUUGAUUUUACCAUAGAAUACUGAACACGCACGUACUUAAAGUGUUUAUAAAUGAAACCAAGCAAUUUAUAUUAAUUGUUUUGUUUUAAUAAGUAAAAACAACUGCGGAGCGAAACAAAGCACAACCGAUCGAUUCUUCUUUUUGAUAGAUCAACAGAUAAACAACUAGCGGAUAUGCUAACAAAACCGAUACCAGCGCCACGGUUUUGUGAAUUGCGAAACCAAAUGAGUUUGAUGGAUUAAUCAAAUGUAGGAGAAAAGGAUCUCAUGGAUAUGGACUGAACCAAAAUAAUUU